RNAcentral lists this ribosomal RNA (265 nucleotides) under uncultured bacterium. RNAcentral describes it as "partial 16S ribosomal RNA". It matches the Rfam family "Bacterial small subunit ribosomal RNA", at positions 793 to 1055 of the family's 1533-position model. The record is from RNAcentral.
GUCCACGCCGUAAACGAUGAGUGCUAGGUGCUGCGGGUAUUGACCCCUGCGGUGCCGUAGCUAACGCGUUAAGCACUCCGCCUGGGGAGUACGGCCGCAAGGCUAAAACUCAAAGGAAUUGACGGGGGCCCGCACAAGCGGUGGAGCAUGUGGUUCAAUUCGACGCAACGCGCAGAACCUUACCUGGGUUAAAUCCACUCGAACUUGGCAGAGAUGCCUUGGUGCCUUUCGGGGAGCGAGUGAGAAGGUGCUGCAUGGCUGUCGU